GGCACAACCUGUGGACUAGCAGGCUGCGCGCCCAAGAAGAACGAGUGACCCACGACGCACAUCCCUGCAGGUAGGCCAACAAGGGCACAUCGAAAAGACCCGAGGGACGACCCUCAUCCUAAGACCUAACCCAGCGGGUCCGCACCUAAAGAAAAAGAAGACUUCGGGUCAAUCACACAACCCAACAAGCCGACUGUGACAACUAGCCUAGCAGCUGCCACGGGCCCAGUCGAGGAGAAAGUCAGGCAGACCGCAGA
Molecule: long non-coding RNA, 257 nt
Filed under: Carica papaya (papaya)
Lineage: Eukaryota; Viridiplantae; Streptophyta; Magnoliopsida; Brassicales; Caricaceae
Description: long non-coding RNA (CPAP_LNC011532)
Source: RNAcentral